Cercophora newfieldiana is the source of this 85-nucleotide non-coding RNA. NCBI's taxonomy places the organism in Eukaryota, Fungi, Ascomycota, Sordariomycetes, Sordariales, Lasiosphaeriaceae. The record is from the annotation of a GenBank genome assembly.
GGACCGGUAGCUCAGUGGUAGAGCAACCGGCUGCAGCUUCACAGCAAAUUCCGGUAGGUCUCGUGUUCAACUCACGAUCGGUCCU